GGCCAGUGGGGGAGGGGCGGCGACGGGGGGCGGCCCUUCCUCCGCAGGACUCAGGGUGGCCCCGGGGGGCGGGGGUCCCGGGCGCGGCGGGGCGAGCCGGGCCGCUGUGGCCGUCGGGUGGAGCCCGCCGAUUCAGGACGGCGGGGCGGGACUCCUGCGGGGCCGGCUAGCACAGUGGAGCCGGCGGAAGUCCGCGGACGCGUCCCUGGCGCUCGGGGGCUCGCGAGGCGCGCUUUGUGCUUUGCCCUUCGCGCUGCCUGGGGCCGCGGCCUCCUCGCCCUCCCGGCUCGUGUUCCUGCCCGGAGGAUCGGCGCGGGGCCCGGCUGGACGCUGCCCUUCGCGGCACUGGCCGGGCUGCCGGAGCAGCGGGCGACGUCCGGGACCGACCGCGGGGUGCUGGACAACUUUGGAUAUUGAAGGUUGACUUCGUGGACUGCCCUGGUGAAAUGACCAGGAGCAGGCCUGGCGUUCUGUAGCACUAAAGAUCGUAGAAAGGAAAAGUGUUUAUAUACAAAAUGCAGAUGAGCCCCUAACGUCAUGUUUAGUAGAUUCAAGACGAACUGUUAAAAGGGAAUGACAUAAAAAUUUUAAUCCAAAUCAGAAAAGGAACUCCUCAGCGCACUAGGAAGAUCAGAUUAUUUGAGAGGGCGUGUGUGCUGUACCUAUGGCUAUUGCUAAUUCUGUGGUUAAAAUGAUUCUAAUGGAAACUUUGGUGAUUAAGAGAAUGGGCUUGCUUUAGAAAUACGUCUAGCCUCAAUUUCCUAAGCCAUAAAUUUUAUAGCAUAGUGCCUGGUUCAGUAAAUGGUAGCUUACUCUUAUUGUUGUUGUUUUAUUAUCUGUGCAGUAUGGCAGCCCUUAGGAGGGCUCCCCAGAGGUGAUAAACUGAGGCGCUUUACAGGAUGAUACGCAGAUAAAUUACUAAGAUGAAAAGGAGGACUGGGCACUUAGCCUGUCUCCUCAACAACUUAUAGAGUUGUCUUAUGUAGAUGAUUUGACCACAGACUUAAUAUGCUAUCUGAUUUCUAUGGCCAAAGCCAAUGUCCUGAGGUUAGCCAGUAUUGCCCAAAGGCACCAGGAGCAACUUGUUUUGCCUGAAUAAAAAAGGACUUUGAAGAUAUUAUCCUUUUGGUAGCUUAAAAGAUACACCAAGAAAAAUAAUUAUUACAGUGAAAUCCAAAUGAAACAUGAGAAUUAUUUUUUUGUUUUGUUACACCUGAUUUAUUCCCUAUGGUAAAUAUUACACAUAAUAAGCAUUAUGUCUUAUACAACACAGGUCAAGAAACCAUCUGGGAUGUGGCAAGGUAGUAGAGCUUCCACCUGUCAUGCUGGGGUGCCUGGAUUCAAUCCCCAGCACCUUAAAAAAACCUGAAGAUAGAAUGCAGGGCUCUAUAGAGGACCCCCUGGGUUGCCACAAGGAAGGAAAACCCCAGAUCCAAGUGAUAACCCCUCCUACUCAACACUUUAAUGCAAUAGGUAUUUCUUGAAUUUGGUCCUUAGUAAACAGUAAUUAUUGUUGUUUGCAGUACCCAGUACAUGCUAGCACACAGUAGGCAAGCACUUUGCACUCUAGUUCCAAGCUACAUCUGUAUUCCUUUUUUUUUUUUGGGGUACCAGGGAUUAAAUUCAAGGACACUCAACCACUGAGCCACAACCCCCGCACUUUUUUGUAUUUUAUUUAGAGACAGGGUCUCACUGAGUUGCUUAGCGCCUUGCUUUUUGCUGAGGCUGGCUUUGAAUUUCUAAUCCUCCUGCCUCAGCCUCCUGAGCCACUGGGAUUACAGGUGUAUGCCACCAGCCCCGGCCUAGGAUUACUCUUGAGUAGCAGAUUCCAGGCCCUGACCCAAUGCGCCUGGCAGCAGUGAUUCUUUUUUUUUUUUUAAGAGAGAGAGAGAAUUUUUUUAAUAUUCAUUUUUUAGUUUUCGGCGGACACAACAUCUUUGUUUGUAUGUGGUGCUGAGGAUCGAACCCGGGCCGCACACGCAUGCCAGGCGAGCGAGCGCGCUACUGCUUGAGCCACAUCCCCAGCCCGCAACAGUGAUUCUUGGUGCCAGUACCGAGUGCUGUUCUUUACUAGUCUGUCUUCCUGCCACUCCAUUAGUAGAGAAGGGUUUUGUUAUUGUUGUUGGUCUCCCCUUCAAUUUCCCUUAGAAAUUUAGCCUUUUAGAAGACAAAAAAAAAAAAGAAGAAGAAGAGAGGACUAUAGCAGCAGUAAUUGACCCAACUUCAACAGUGAAUAAGUGUUUGUGGGGUAACAAAGUGACAGAUAGAAUGCAGGGCUCUAUAGAGUGUGACAGGCCUGGGUUUGUGCUGUGUCUCCUUUAUUUUUCAGGUGUACUGUACUACUCCUGGGCUCCAGGGGGCGAAUCUAGAAUUCCUUGAGUAAUUCAAGAGCAUUAGCCCCAGUAGUCAGAUCCUUGGAAUCUAUGAUUCUUUGUUUUCUGUUAAAAUACACACACACACCAAAAAAAAAAAACCUGCUGCAGAAUGCUAAUUCUCAGAUGAUUGAAGUUGCUUAGAAAAGAGGAGGGGGGGAAAGCCAACAUUAGCACAGGUUGUGACAAGUUAAAAAUACUCACAAUACCCUGGGUUCCCAGUUAGUAACUUGAGAAUGUAGCUAUUUUAAUUGAGUUACCAAAUAUAGCUUCACCUUCCUAAAUCUCACUAGCUACACUACAUUCAUUUGGGGGAACAUUGAGGAAUGCUUUCUGCUUCCCUUUUUAACUGUGUACUUGAGUAUUUUUCCCAGAACAAUUUUCUGAUGUUAGUUUUUUUGUUCAGAUAAAUGGUAUAUCCUCUGGCCCCCAUCAGUGGGGGGUUGAACCCAGAGGCAAUCUACCACUGUACCACAUCCCCAGCACCUUUUAUUUUCUGUCUUGAAACAGGGCCUCCUGUAUUGCCAAGACCAGCCUCAAACGUGUGAUUCUCCUGCCUCAGCCUCCCAAGGGGCUAGGAUGACAGGUGAGCUCCCCUGCACCAGCCUAUCCUGGCAUAUUCAUGGGUUUUUCCUGCCCUUAGUACUCAAUUCCUAAGCUGCCUUUACUCACUUCCAUUUUCAAAAAAUGAGAAAAAAGUGAAACUUCCUCAAAAUCAUACUGUCUUCAACUUUUACUGCCUUGACAACUGGACCAAUAUGUGUGUGAAUGAUUUUGUCAAUUUCUAGACUUUGUAUUGUCAGGUUUUCACAGAGGAAUGUAAACUGCUAUGAACAGAGAAAUCAAUUGAAUUUCUUUAAAAAAUAUAUUUAUUUUUUUGUUGUAGUCAGACACAAAACCUUCUUUUUAAUCAAUUUAUGUGGUGCUGAGGAUUGAACCUAGGGCCUCACACAUGCUAGGCAAGCACUGAGCCACAACCCCAGCCCCAUCAAUUGAAUUUCUUGUUAUGGUUCCUACUGGUAGAAUAUAAGGAUUACAGCAAGUGCAGAUUAAAGUCUUAGAGUAUCUCAUUUACAUAUAUAAAUGCAAUGAAUUAAGAGAUUACUAUGACAUUCCUUAAAGAAAAAGAUUAAGAGCAUUAUUAUAAGCCACACUUUAAGGAGACCCAGAAUCAAAAAAAAUUUCAGGGUUUGUAAUAGGAGAAAAGGCACAAUGGUUUCUUUCUUUCUUUUCUUUCUUUUUUUUUUUUAAAGAGAGAGAGAGAGAAUUUUUUAAUAUUUAUUUUUUUAGUUUUCGGCGGACACAUCAUUUUUAUAUGUGGUGCUGAGGAUUGAACCUGGGCCGCACGCAUGCCAGAGGAGCGCACUACUGCUUGAGCCACAUCCCCAGCCCCCACAAUGGUUUCUGACUCCAAAUGCUGGCUUAUAUAUUCCUGAGUGUUCCUACAGAAAUUUUUUUUUUUAAAUGGCGAUAGGGACAGGAAGGUCAACUUCCAACUCCACUAGAGGCAGAGAGAAAGACAAAUCCUUCCAUUUGGCUGCCCCCACUUCUAGCAUGCUAAGAAGACUCAGUGCUCCUGGAGACUUGGGCCGGUGGCUUGCCAGCCAGGAUUCAAGCUCUGGGAGGUCUACACCCAAAUGUAGCCAGCACCUGUGUUCUGGGUCUUUGGUUCAGAUUUGGGUGCUCCCUGGGGAUGAAUGAGACCAGAGUUACCUGCCUGCACAGCAAGACUUCAUCUGGCUCUCCCUUUCACAAUGAGAAAGACAACAGCCAGCACACAAAACAACAAUGUAAUCCCCCACACCCCCACACACACUGUGCCACUAGAGAAGCUCAACCUCUUUCACAGGUGGUGGUGUAGCAGGGUAGAACAGUUUGAUUACUUUUUCCAGUGUCUGCUGUUAAUACAUGAGGCACAUCUGUCCUGAGAAGGGAUAAAUGACUCUUAUGGAGAAAAUAAAUCCUGGAAACUUUCCUCUUUUUCUUUCGUGCUGGGGAUCAAAAUCAGGUCCUGGGGUUGUGGCUCAUAGUAGAAUGCUUGCCUCGCAUGCAUGAGACCCUGGGUUUGAUCUCCAGCACCACAUAAAAU
RNAcentral lists this long non-coding RNA (4461 nucleotides) under Marmota monax (woodchuck). The record is from RNAcentral. Lineage: Eukaryota; Metazoa; Chordata; Mammalia; Rodentia; Sciuridae.